CAUGUAGGCGGAUUAAUAAGUUUGAAGUGAAAUCCUAUAGCUUAACUAUAGAACUGCUUUGAAAACUGUUAAUCUAGAAUGUGGGAGAGGUAGAUGGAAUUUCUGGUGUAGGGGUAAAAUCCGUAGGGAUCAGAAGGAAUACCGAUUGCGAAGGCGAUCUACUGGAACAUUAUUGACGCUGAGAUGCGAAGGCGUGGGGAGCAAACA
Molecule: ribosomal RNA, 207 nt
Filed under: uncultured bacterium
Lineage: Bacteria
Description: partial 16S ribosomal RNA
Rfam family: Bacterial small subunit ribosomal RNA
Source: RNAcentral